RNAcentral lists this ribosomal RNA (497 nucleotides) under uncultured bacterium. RNAcentral describes it as "partial 16S ribosomal RNA". It matches the Rfam family "Bacterial small subunit ribosomal RNA", at positions 28 to 507 of the family's 1533-position model. The record is from RNAcentral.
GAUGAACGCUGGCGGCGUGCCUAAUACAUGCAAGUCGAGCGAACAGACGAGGAGCUUGCUCCUCUGACGUUAGCGGCGGACGGGUGAGUAACACGUGGAUAACCUACCUAUAAGACUGGGAUAACUUCGGGAAACCGGCGCUAAUACCGGAUAAUCUAUUGAACCGCAUGGUUCAAUAGUGAAAGACGGUUUUGCUGUCACUUAUAGAUGGAUCCGCGCCGCAUUAGCUAGUUGGUAAGGUAACGGCUUACCAAGGCAACGAUGCGUAGCCGACCUGAGAGGGUGAUCGGCCACACUGGAACUGAGACACGGUCCAGACUCCUACGGGAGGCAGCAGUAGGGAAUCUGCCGCAAUGGGCGAAAGCCUGACGGAGCAACGCCGCGUGAGUGAUGAAGGUCUUCGGAUCGUAAAACUCUGUUAUUAGGGAAGAACAAAUGUGUAAGUAACUAUGCACGUCUUGACGGUACCUAAUCAGAAAGCCACGGCUAACUACGUG